RNAcentral lists this ribosomal RNA (357 nucleotides) under uncultured bacterium. Its description in RNAcentral is "bacterial SSU rRNA". It matches the Rfam family "Bacterial small subunit ribosomal RNA", at positions 71 to 422 of the family's 1533-position model. The record is from RNAcentral.
ACCAAGCCUUCGGGCUUGGGGACAGCGGCGAACGGGUGAGUAACACGUGGGUAAUCAACCCUUGACACUGGGAUAGCCCGGGGAAACCCGGAUUAAUACCGGAUACUCCAUCUGGCUUUCGGGCCGGCUGGAAAAGGUAGCUUCGGCCUCCGGUCAGGGACGAGCCCGCGGCGGAUUAGCUUGUUGGUGGGGUAAAGGCCCACCAAGGCGACGAUCCGUAGCUGGUCUGAGAGGACGAUCAGCCACACUGGGACUGAGACACGGCCCAGACUCCUACGGGAGGCAGCAGUGGGGAAUCUUGCGCAAUGGGCGAAAGCCUGACGCAGCGACGCCGCGUGAGGGAAGAAGGCCUUCGGG